GAACGCACAUUGCGCCCCCUGGUAUUCCGGGGGGCAUGCCUGUUCGAGCGUCAUUUCACCACUCAAGCCUCGCUUGGUAUUGGGCAACGCGGUCCGCCGCGUGCCUCAAAUCGUCCGGCUGGGUCUUCUGUCCCCUAAGCGUUGUGGAAACUAUUCGCUAAAGGGUGUUCGGGAGGCUACGCCGUAAAACAACCCCAUUUCUAAGGUUGACCUCGGAUCAGGUAGGGAUACCCGCUGAACUUAAG
This 245-nucleotide unclassified non-coding RNA is filed under the name Cladosporium exasperatum. RNAcentral describes it as "sequence contains 5.8S rRNA gene". The stretch from base 1 to 53 matches the Rfam family "5.8S ribosomal RNA", at positions 102 to 154 of the family's 154-position model. The record is from RNAcentral. RNAcentral also lists the same sequence under 1 other name. Lineage: Eukaryota; Fungi; Ascomycota; Dothideomycetes; Cladosporiales; Cladosporiaceae.